RNAcentral lists this ribosomal RNA (1183 nucleotides) under human oral metagenome. Its description in RNAcentral is "bacterial LSU rRNA". It matches the Rfam family "Bacterial large subunit ribosomal RNA", at positions 1100 to 2301 of the family's 2925-position model. The record is from RNAcentral.
GUUGGCUUGGAAGCAGCCAUUCAUUUAAAGAGUGCGUAACAGCUCACUAGUCGAGGAUUUUGGCAUGGAUAAUACACGGGCAUAAGCAAUUUACCGAAGCCGUGGGAUAUAAUAAUAUAUCGGUAGGGGAGCAUUCCAGCGACGUAGAAGGAAAAAGGGCGACUUUUUCUGGAGUUUCUGGAAAAGCAAAUGUAGGUAUAAGUAACGAUAAAGGGGGCGAGAACCCCCCUCGCCGAAAGACCAAGGAUUCCUGAUCAACGCUAAUCGGAUCAGGGUUAGUCGGGGCCUAAGGAUAAGCCGAAUGGCGAUUCCGAUGGACGAACCGGUUAAUAUUCCGGUACUGAUACAGAGAGCGAUGUGGUGACGGAGAAGUGACAGUCCGGCCGUCUGACGGAAUAGGCGGUUAAAGGGUGUAGAUGUUGAUCGGGGUAGGCAAAUCCGCCCUGAGAGUCGAACCUGAUAGUACCCGGAGUACAAGUACGAAGGGAUAAGGACGUAAACCGGCUCCCAAGAAAACCCGCUAAGCAUAUUUCUGUGUUACCCGUACCGUAAACCGACACAGGUGGUUGGGUUGAGUAUACUAAGGCGCUCGAGAGAUUCGCGGUUAAGGAACUAGGCAAAAUGGUCCUGUAACUUCGGGAGAAAGGACGCCUGUCUCCGGACAGGCCGCAGAAACCAGGCCCAGGCGACUGUUUAACAAAAACACAAGGCUAUGCAAAAAAGCAAUUUGAGGUAUAUAGUCUGACACCUGCCCGGUGCUGGAAGGUUAAGAGGAGGAGUCAUCGUCAAGAGAAGCUCUGAAUUGAAGCCCCAGUAAACGGCGGCCGUAACUAUAACGGUCCUAAGGUAGCGAAAUUCCUUGUCGGGUAAGUUCCGACCUGCACGAAUGGUGUAACGAUCUGGGUACUGUCUCAACCGCGAGCUCGGUGAAAUUGUAGUAUCGGUGAAGAUGCCGAUUACCCGCAACGGGACGAAAAGACCCCGUGAACCUUUACUAUAGCUUUACAUUGUAUUUGGGCAUCAGAUGUGUAGGAUAGGCCGGAGGCAGAGAAGCGGGUACGCCAGUAUUCGUGGAGUCGAUGUUGAAAUACGGCCCUUUUGAUGUUUGGAUACUAACUCGCGGCGUGCGAGGACAGUGGAUGGUGGGUAGUUUGACUGGGGUGGUCGCCUCCAAAAGCGUAAC